Long non-coding RNA from Fundulus heteroclitus (mummichog), 825 nucleotides. RefSeq lists it as uncharacterized. NCBI's taxonomy places the organism in Eukaryota, Metazoa, Chordata, Actinopteri, Cyprinodontiformes, Fundulidae. The record is from RefSeq and is a predicted model, not a curated record. The transcript is spliced from 3 exons.
AGCUUAAAGCAAGGACCGUUUUGUCUUGGGAUCUGGAUGUGCCGCUACAACCCAAGUCUCCAGCCUUUACAGUCCCUCCAUCUCAGGGCAUGGCGGUGCCCCCGGCCAGCCUCUGGUGUGAUAGAAGUGCUGGUUGCUUGGUAACAGGAUUGGGGAUUGGACUGAGCUGCCAGCAAACUCCUCGGGGGCACGAGACAUUAAACAGCACAAGUGUCUGAUCGAUCGAUGCAGCCCGCUGUCACUUCCCAUGGAUGAAGAUCUGCAUCAGUAUACAUCUUCAUGGGAAGGUUUCCUUUCAUUUCUGUUCCCCGGAUCUGGUAUGCUCAGGGAAACUAAUAAAACGGUAAUGGAUUUCUUGCCAUACAUUCUUGCUUGCUGGAGCUUUAAAUCUGUCUGCAGCUCAUAAAGCCAAAAAAGUUAUUUUUUAACAACUUCAUUUACAUCAACAGCAGUAAUAAGGAUGUGGAAGUGGAGACAAUGGAAAUCCAUUUUUAUUACUAUUGAAUCUGCGUCAGAAACAAUUCACCAUGAUGAUCUAAACUCAUAAACGGCCUUGUGUGUGUGUCACUGUCAACUUUCUGUACUCUGCUUUCCCUUCUGUUUACAGGAGGAUGACUCCAAAACAAGAGCGGCAUCCAACCCAGGCGUCUCACACAAAAGGCAAGGAGAUCAAACGACAGCAGAGUUGGUGAAUGACAGCCGGGUUGUGGGGUAUGACAACAGGGGUUAUUAACAAGAUGGCAGGUGUAUUCAGCUCCUCUUUCACCCACAGUCAAUGUGCCCACACAAAAGACACAGAAACUAAACUACUGAAAUACAGUGCCA